CCUGAGAACAUUUUUUUCUGAGUGACUCCAGCUUCCAGACACAUUUGCCAUGAGAAGGGUUCCAAUCCUUUCCUGUAUUUGCCCUGAGUCAUGAAUGGAUAUGUGUGAUGCCUGCAAGUAAAACUGCUUAAAGGAGUGAUCCUUUCUCCAGCUGCAGCAAGAGCCACUUCUCGGCCGUCUCUCUUGUUCCCCACUUGAGUGUCCCUGGUGAUGUCAGGAAUUCAUUCACCGCCGUGCACGCCUUAAAGGAUCUCCCUUGCUCCUUGUGGCAUCAGUGGCUCCAGGAAGACUUUGUUUUUCUGAAACUUUUCUGUCUGUGGAACUUUCUCUGUGGCAGGGGGAGGAGAGAAGAAGUAAUUUUAACAAUUUAAUAAAGUACAUAAUGUAAGUUUUAUAAGCUGGUGUGAAUGCUCCUAAGUAUUUUGGUCUUUUUUCAUAACACAAUGAACCUAAUAUUGGUAAAAAUACAGAUCUUAGC
Molecule: long non-coding RNA, 478 nt
Filed under: Geospiza fortis (medium ground-finch)
Lineage: Eukaryota; Metazoa; Chordata; Aves; Passeriformes; Thraupidae
Description: lncRNA (ENSGFOG00000004553.1)
Source: RNAcentral